RNAcentral lists this long non-coding RNA (1393 nucleotides) under Oreochromis niloticus (Nile tilapia). RNAcentral describes it as "lncRNA (ENSONIG00000035496.1)". Lineage: Eukaryota; Metazoa; Chordata; Actinopteri; Cichliformes; Cichlidae. The record is from RNAcentral.
UUCUUAGUUCCUUACUGUGGAAAUUUCAUUGAGCUAUGAAAAAAAUCUUUUGGAUUUUUAAAUUUCACAUUUUGACAUUUGUUAAAUCAAUCAGAUCUGACUACUUUGAGCACUUUCACCACAUCUACUCCUAUUUCUAUGAAAGACCGAAGAAGAAACAGAAUUACAGGUUUUAAAAAAAGGAAUCCAUCAGACCUGAAUACUUUGAGGAUUUUCACAACAUCUACUCCUAUUUCUAUAAAACUCCAAAGAAGAAAAAGAAUUACAGAGGCAGCCUCCCCUUCUUUUGUUCCUGGGAUAACUCUGACAGCCGUGAGCAAUCUUACUGCUGAUGACACGACUCUUACAGAUCCAGCAACUGAUGAUGGAAUGACAGGUAGACCUAAUUUUACUAUUUUUAUUAAAGGACGAACAUAUAUAUAUAUAUAUAUAUAUAUAUAUAUAUAUACAUAUGUGUGUGUGUGUGUGUUGGGGAGUAACAGAAUACAUGUACCGGUGUUCUGACCAACCAUCCUACUUUGGCAAAACGUCCUACCGUAACUAGUUUAUGCACAUUUCUGCUGUCAAAGACGAAUUCCAGCAAAUUUAAGAAGGUAUGACGGGUUGCCACUUAACUUUGCCCAUCAGAGUAUGCUUGUAGCUCAUAGUCAUAAAACCAGGACGGUUUGCCACUUCAUUUUAUCUGUUAAAGUAUGCUUGUAGGUAACAUUCACAAAGGUAGCAUGGUUUGGCACUUAAUUUUACCCGUCAGAGUAUGUCCUAGCUCUUAUUAACAAAGGUAGGAUGAUUUGCCACUUAAUUUUAGCUGUUAAAGCAUGCUUCUAGCUCAUAUUCACAAAGGUAGGAUGGUUCGCCACUUAAUUUUAGCUGUUAAAGCAUGCUUCUAGCUCAUAUUUACAAAAGUAGGACGGUUCGCCACUUAAUUUCGUGUUGUGCGCAUGCACAGAAACAACAGGUAGGAUGGUUUGUCAGGUAGGAUGGAUUCCCAGAACACCGGCGUUACGUAUUUAAAAUACAAAAUAGGAGUAACUGUAUUCCAUUACAGUUACAGUUUAAAUAGGUGGUAAUCAGAAUACAGUUACCUUUUUGAAAUAAAUAUAAUACACAGUGGUUGUUUCCAGUUUUAUAUGUUAGGGUAUCCCCUCUCUAUGCCCUCUCUAAUUUUGGUGAUUGAACACAGUAGGGCGCUGGUUUAGCUCAGUUGGAUGAGCUUGUAGUCAUGGCUGAGAGUGGCCGACCCAGGUUCAAGUACGACCCGUGGCCCUUUUUUAAAAUUUAAUUAAUUUUUUUUUUUUUUAACUCAAUUUCCAUCUGGGAUUAAUACAGUUUCUCUAAUUCUGAUUGAUGGAGACCCCAAAAACCCCCACAAUAAGAGGCUCUAAUGUAAGCACUG